This is a long non-coding RNA of Oncorhynchus keta (chum salmon), 226 nucleotides long. RefSeq lists it as uncharacterized. The transcript is spliced from 3 exons. Lineage: Eukaryota; Metazoa; Chordata; Actinopteri; Salmoniformes; Salmonidae. The record is from RefSeq and is a predicted model, not a curated record.
GGUGUUACUGUGCCAGGUCAACAACAUCCUUUAUGACAGUAUUCAUACGUCUAUGGUGUUACUGUGCCAGGUCAACAACAUCCUUUAUGACAGUAUUCAUACGUCUAUGGUGUUACUGUGCCAGGUCAACAACAUCCUUUAUGACAGUAUUCAUACGUCUAUGGUGUUACUGUGCCAUUUCAACAACAUCCUUUAUGACAGUAUUCAUAUGUCUAUGGUGUUACUG